GCUGCCAUAGCUCAGUUGGUAGAGCGCGUCCUUGGUAAGGACGAGGUCCCGGGUUCAAAUCCCGGUGGCAGCUCCA
RNAcentral lists this transfer RNA (76 nucleotides) under Deltaproteobacteria bacterium. RNAcentral describes it as "tRNA-Thr". It matches the Rfam family "tRNA". Rfam says of the family: Transfer RNA (tRNA) molecules are approximately 80 nucleotides in length. Their secondary structure includes four short double-helical elements and three loops (D, anti-codon, and T loops). The record is from RNAcentral. Lineage: Bacteria; Pseudomonadati; Myxococcota; Myxococcia.